UAUGACUACUGGCAGGAUCAACCAGGUAGCAUUCCUCAUUGCCGCCGACACCGCAUGAGUAACAGGACAAAUACUAUCCUCCAAUCAAUGCAGGGCACGGCAUGCUUCAAUAAGGAACGUUUAAUUCGGGCAACAACGGGUCAAGGGCCCCGACAGAUCACGUUUCUGCAUACAAGACUUUGAGCGACACAAGGGCAUCUAAUGCCUCCUAUAAAGCCAAAGUGGCCAAGCAAGGGCAGAUGUCCAAGUGGGAUUGGGUCUACAUCAUACAAGACAUUUAGCACGAAAUAGAGAAGAGAACGGUGGACUAGGAAAUUCCAUCAUAUUAGGUAUGCUCACAGGGGGCCAAGUCAACCAAGGCAAAAGGUUUUGCACUCAGACUGAACUGAAAAGGUGUGAUCCCAUGAUUGUCGCUGCCAAGGCAGGGAACCAACCACAGGGAACAUACC
This 449-nucleotide unclassified non-coding RNA is filed under the name Elwendia longipes. RNAcentral's name for it is "partial external transcribed spacer". Lineage: Eukaryota; Viridiplantae; Streptophyta; Magnoliopsida; Apiales; Apiaceae. The record is from RNAcentral.